This 777-nucleotide ribosomal RNA is filed under the name uncultured Neocallimastigales. RNAcentral's name for it is "partial large subunit ribosomal RNA". It matches the Rfam family "Eukaryotic large subunit ribosomal RNA", at positions 23 to 628 of the family's 3401-position model. Lineage: Eukaryota; Fungi; Neocallimastigomycota; Neocallimastigomycetes; Neocallimastigales. The record is from RNAcentral.
AUAGAGACUCAGAGCUGCAUAUCAAUAAGCGGAGGAAAAGAAACUAACUAGGAUUCCCUUAGUAACUGGCGAGUGAAGCGGGAAGAGCUCAAAUUUGAAAUCUUCAAGGUUCUACCUUGACGAAUUGUAGUUUAUAGAAGUGUUUUCUGUUGAAGUUUCGGCUAAAAGUUCUUUGGAAUAGGACAUCAUAGAGGGUGAGAAUCCCGUAUUUGACGUCAUUCUUCUAGCUGUGUGAUACACUUUCAAAGAGUCGGAUUGUUUGGGAAUGCAGUCCAAAAUGGGUGGUAAAUUUCAUCUAAAGCUAAAUAUUGGCGAGAGACCGAUAGCGAACAAGUACCGUGAGGGAAAGAUGAAAAGAACUUUGAAAAGAGAGUUAAACCGUACGUGAAAUUGUCAAAAGGGAAGCGUUUGACACCAGUGUUGUUUUCUCGAAAAUCAAUUCAUGAUGGCUUGAUGCUAGGUUGUUAAGACUUUAUCAGCUUACUGUCUAGUUUUCUUGUCUUUGCGAAUGCACUUUUCGUUUAACAAGUCAACAUCAAUUUCUUUUGUUGUAAAAGGGUACGAGGAAGGUGGCUUUCUUUUCGGAGAAAGUGUUUAUAGCCUUGUACCUCUGCAAUCGGAGAGAUUGAGGUCUGCAGCGUAGAUCCUUCGGGGUUAGAUACAUUUGUGCUAAGUUAUAGCUUUUCAUAGACAACUUGUUGACUAUGUUUAGUCUUGUAGCUUACUCGCUUAUGCUAUUUUACCUACGCUUAGGAUGUUGAUAUGCAUGACUGAUAU